AACGAACGCUGGCGGCAUGCCUAACACAUGCAAGUCGAACGAGACCUUCGGGUCUAGUGGCGCACGGGUGCGUAACGCGUGGGAAUCUGCCCUUCGGUUGGGAAUAACUGAGAGAAAUUUCAGCUAAUACCUUAUAAUGUCUUCGGACCAAAGAUUUAUCGCCGAGGGAUGAGCCCGCGUAGGAUUAGGUAGUUGGUGGGGUAAUGGCCUACCAAGCCGACGAUCCUUAGCUGGUCUGAGAGGAUGAUCAGCCACACUGGGACUGAGACACGGCCCAGACUCCUACGGGAGGCAGCAGUGGGGAAUAUUGGGCAAUGGGGGAAAGCCUGGUCCAGCAAUGCCGCGUGAGUUGUUAAGGCCUUAGGGUUGUAAAGCUCUUUUACCCGGGAUGAUAAUGACAGUACCGGGAGAAUAAGCUCCGGCUAACUCCGUG
Molecule: ribosomal RNA, 433 nt
Filed under: uncultured bacterium
Lineage: Bacteria
Description: partial 16S ribosomal RNA
Rfam family: Bacterial small subunit ribosomal RNA
Source: RNAcentral